ACUGAGUUACCGCUCUACAACCCUUUGUGAACAUACCUUAACUGUUGCUUCGGCGGGCAGGAGGACAACCCCCCUCGGGGGGCGGUCCCCCUCCCGGCCGCGCCCUCACGGGCGUGGCGCCCGCCGGAGGAUACCAAAACUCUAUUUUAACGACGUUUCUUCUGAGUGGCACAAGCAAAUAAUUAAAACUUUUAACAACGGAUCUCUUGGUUCUGGCAUCGAUGAAGAACGCAGCGAAAUGCGAUAAGUAAUGUGAAUUGCAGAAUUCAGUGAAUCAUCGAAUCUUUGAACGCACAUUGCGCCCGCCAGCAUUCUGGCGGGCAUGCCUGUUCGAGCGUCAUUUCAACCCUCAAGCCCAGCUUGGUGUUGGGGCCCUACGGUCGACGUAGGCCCUUAAAGGUAGUGGCGGACCCUCCCGGAGCCUCCUUUGCGUAGUAACUUAACGUCUCGCACUGGGAUCCGGAGGGACUCUUGCCGUAAAACCCCCAAAACUUUUACAGGUUGACCUCGGAUCAGGUAGGAAUACCCG
RNAcentral lists this ribosomal RNA (529 nucleotides) under Colletotrichum destructivum. RNAcentral describes it as "eukaryotic LSU rRNA". The stretch from base 187 to 340 matches the Rfam family "5.8S ribosomal RNA". Lineage: Eukaryota; Fungi; Ascomycota; Sordariomycetes; Glomerellales; Glomerellaceae. The record is from RNAcentral.